This is a long non-coding RNA of Mus musculus (house mouse), 5188 nucleotides long. RefSeq annotates it as predicted gene, 33159. The record is from RefSeq and is a predicted model, not a curated record. NCBI's taxonomy places the organism in Eukaryota, Metazoa, Chordata, Mammalia, Rodentia, Muridae. The transcript has 2 exons.
UAUAUAUGAUUAGGUUGUCCAGUGGAAAUGCCUAUGAGUGAUUUUCCUAAUUGGGUAAUGAAGGUGGGAAGACCCACCCUUCAUGGGCUGAGCCUUAAACUGAAUGAAUGUAAACGAGAGCUGAGCCAACAUUGCUCAGUUGUACCCUGAGGAAACAUGAGUCAGGGCAAGUUACCUCCAGUAUGGACACAGAGCAGGUUUGUUCCAAAGCAACGCAGGCAUGCGCAGAGUUCUCCCAGUGCCUCUUGGGCUUCGUUUUCUCACAAUGAUGCCUGGUUACUUUUCUCCCCAAGCAGCAGAAGGCUUUAUCCCAUGUCCAUAUGUUAAUUUAACACAGCUUAGCUCACUGCAUCUGGGGCUUCUCUGUUUCUCCUUUCUCCAAGAUUGUUCUCCCUCCAUGAAAGAAGCAGACAUUGCUACUUUACCAUCUUGGUCAAAGGCUGAGCAGAACUCGAAGCCUAGCCAUUUCCACGCUGCCCUUUCUUAGAUGCGUCCCAAGCUCCCACUUCUGCCGGUCUCGCCUCUGCACGGACUACUUGCCGCGAUACUGAUGUUGCUCCAUUCCAUUUUUAAUCUCUUUAAUCUGCGUCCAACACUCCCCUGAGAAAUGACUGUAGCACAUCACGGUAGACCUCAGAUUUGUGAUAGGAUGAAGAAUCUUGAAACGGAAACUUUUCUGUGUGAUUCUGGUAGACCCCAGUGUAACCACAAAAGCGUUUAUAGAGGAACUUGAAAAGAGCCAAUGAGUGAGAAUGUCCAAUGAGGAUAGAAGAAAGAAAGAACAGUUGAUGACAUGUGGAACUAAAGCCAAGGGUGCACGUGAAAGUCGGAGGACAACUCCAAGAAGUAGGCUCUCUCCUCAGUCUUGGAGGUGAGUGCCCUUAUCUGUUGUGCCAUCUAGCUCAUGGGGCUGCUAUUAUAUUUACAUAGGAAGUUUUAAGAAGAUACAUGCUAACCAAGUUUGAUAUCUUUUCAGAAAACUGGACAAAUUGUCACAAAUUAACUUUUUAUCCACUAACACCCCAAGAAAGAAGAUGUGCAGGCCUUGCCUCCUGUUCAGUACCCUGUUCCCCAAAAUGAAGUUACUUUUCUAACACAACUUUUUAAAGUUGUUUCCCACAAAACAUCCUAAAGAGCAUGCAUCACUCUGAAAGUUUGCCAGAAGAAAACUUUCCUUCAUUUUGAUGCCAAAUUCCUUUGGGAAGAAGAGAGAGCAUGAAGGAGCAUGUUCCUGGGUGGACUCAUCCACACCCAGGUGUGCUGCUCCCUCCCUGAGUACACAUUCCCUGCCCAGAUAGACUGCUCUCUGCCCAAGCUUUGGAAGUGAUUCUCAGAAGUCUCCUUAUGUGUAGUAGACAAACUUUAUUCUAUAUGGCAACUACUGACAUCUGGAUUCCCACCAAGAGGCAACUCUGCUGGAUUCAAUGGCAGACCUAUAGGAACAUGAAGCUGUAAUUAGUAUGACUUGAAGUCAGAUAAAUUAAAAAAAAAAAAUACCAGCUUAUAUUUCUAAAGUUGAAGCACAUAAAGGAAAUUUGGGCUCCCCCAAAUUGUUGAUGGUUAUUGUCAAGACACAAGCACAGAAACCUAAUGUCACCAUGAGACACAGAGUUCCUUUUGCACAUUCCCUGUCUCAUGGCUAAAGAAUUUUUUAAAAGAUCCUGAUCAUGAAAGCUGGAGACCUUGACAAUGGCUGGAAAGAAGGCAAGGGAAAGGGGAGAAAGAACCAAGUUUUGCUUUCUGAGUUAGAAAGCAAGAAGGCAGGCAGGUGCAGCAAUGGAAGCCUGUAAGCAGCUGCAUCCAGAAGUAGGUGCCUAGGGAAUUCAGUAUAGGAGUGCUCUCGGAGGAGUAGCAGGUUUAGGAUCUGCGGGUCUGGAGAUGGAGAGAGAGGAAGGGAGAGUCACACUCUCAGAACUAAAAAGGAGCAGGUUUGGUGAAAAUUUGCAAGUCAAGUAGAUGCAUAAAGGGGAGGGGCUUUGAGACAUAACACAUUAAAGCAAUAGUUAUUCUCAGCUGUUAGAUUUGUCUUUGCUUGUGUUACAUUUGUUUCACCUUUUGUCCUUAAGUUGGAUCCUUAAAAUGGGAUUUCUACUUAUCAGAAGAACUCUAUGCCUUUAUCAGGACAAAGGGAGCACUAGGAAUCUUAAUCAAAAGGCCAUUAUCAGCCCAAACCACUAUAACUACAAUUACUGACCAUCAAUCAUCCUAUCUUUGUGAGAGGUUGAAAAGUGGUACUAUUUAUAUGUACCAAAGAGGUUCCCCAACAUGGGAAGCACUUCCUGUCUACAUUAGAGAGGACACCUAUCUCAAAUGUUGCCUGGGAAACAGCUGGCUAUAAAUGACCCACUUUAGUUCCCUUAUGACCCAAACAGCCUUGAGAUGGAACCAACAGUUUCCAUUCAGUGGAACAUGAGGAGCAGUGGCAGGCCCUGGUACCAUGAGACCAGACGGCAGAGGGGUCAGCAGUAACUGCACAGCAAACCAGAAUUAUCAACAAAUUCCACCUCAUCUCAACUACACUUUAGGAUUCCUCCCAGGUUCCGGGUUGUGACCAGUUAGCUCUCCAUGUCCCCUCAGUCAAGAUCACUUAAAUUGCUUUGGUACCUGUCAAGCAAGGAGUCAAAUUUGAGCAUGUCUCUUGUCUCACCUACAAUACUCCUGUACAUCUACAAUAAAGCUAUGCUUGCAGGGAGGGGGAACAAAACAGCACUGUGGUGUUUGUUUCUGUCUACACUGUCUAUGUAUGUACACACUAUUAAUGGUGAGUUUGUUUUUAGUCUGUCCUCAGCCUGGGUGGCACCGCACCCAGGAAUACAAGACUGGUAUUUGCAGAGAGUAAUCAAACUUGGUGUGAUGGUGAAUUAUCAACUUGAUAAAAUUUAAAAUCAUGGGGAGUUGGACCUUUGAGAAUGUCUGGGAGGGGUUUCCUUGAUUAUAUUAAUUGAUGUAGAAAUACCCUAGUUAAGUGUGGAUGGGACCAUUCCCUGUGUGAGGGAUCCUGGAUUGUAUAAAAUGGAAAAUGUCAGCUGAGCACUAGCAAGCUCACAGGCAUGGUUUUCUGCUCCCUGAUAGUGGACAUUGUAACACACACACACACACACACAGAGAGAGAGAGAGAGGGAGAGAGAGGAACACAGUGGGGAGUUGUUUUAGUUUUAAAUCAUGUUGUCUUGGGGGUAAUUAGGCCCUUUAUAAUUUAGGAAAACUUGGCUGCGUUGAGGGUAGUUCCUUGUUACUUUCUUAUUUCAUCAAAGUUUGAGUGUGUGUUUGUUGGUUUGGGUUGUUUUUUUGUUUGUUUGUUUUGUUUUGUUUUGUUUUGUUUUGUUUGGUGUGUUUUAGUUAUCGACAGGAUCUUACUAAGUAGCCACAGCUGACAGUCCUCCUGCCUUGGCCUCUAAGAUGCAAAAAUUGCAAUGCAUGUCAUCCCUGACCAAGGUUCCAUUUUGAUUUCAUGACUCUUGCCAUGAGUAACCUCAUUUUGGUUGGUAUAUUGAAACCUAGUGCAGGAUUUCAUACCGAAACUAUGAUAUAAAUUUUAUAUCAUUUUCUCCAAAGUCCAAUUUAUAACAGUUUUCUGAUCUCAGUAGAACCUGAGGGGAUGCUCUGGGGAAGGGAAGAGUUGAGAGUAGAAUGCAAAGCAGAAUUACUAGGUGAGAACCUGAGUCCUAUAGAACUAUCUUCUAAGCAACUUUCCUAGCCUUCCUGAACUAUGAACCCUCUUACCUUCUCCUAGAGUUUUAUGCUUCAAUAUUUUUUAAAUAAAAGAACUCAGUGGCUUUUACAACUUCAGGAUUUGAUAUGAGAAAUCUGGCUACCUCUUACUCCUGUGGUAGAGGAUACAAUUAGUAAUAUAUAUAUAUUACUAUGUAAUAUAUAUAAUAUAUAUUUAUAAUUAGAGAAAAUGAUAGUAAAGGACCUUGAAUCCAACACCCAGCAUAGAAAUUAGAACCUUAUCAUAUGAUUUUAAGCAAGAUAAUUGUGAAACAACUUCAAAUAAUCUUGUAUUCCUUAUACUGUAUUAAAUGUAAUAGCAAAUAACUAAACAAUAACAACAAAACUGUCUCAUGUAAAAAGAGGUCUGAGGAUUGUUCUAUAGUAGUAAAGAUCAGAGAUACAUGGCCCUUUCUAUUGCUGUGGCAAAAUAACUGCCUAAGCCUUUUCAAACAACCACCAACUGGAGAUUGCUUAAGCAUAGGCCUUUUAUUACCAAGAUCUCCUUUUGGUUCAAUAUAGCCGUAGAAGUCCCAGACUUAACUUCUGUAUUCUAGGAAGCAGAAGCAAGCUUCCCCACUCCUCCCUGCCCCCCCCCCCCCAAAAAAAACCUCCACCAAUAUCCUUCAGCUUAUAUCUCAUUCACAAAUCCCUGGAAAGUAGCUGGGAUUAUAGGUUUUCAUCUGGAACAUUUCUCAGAAAUCUAUAUCAAGGGGGGAAAGGAGUAUUUCCUAUUGAAUUAGAACCUAGCAGUCUCAUGCCAUAUUGUAUUGGUUAUGUUUCUAUUGCUGGGGUAAAAUAACUUACAGAAGGAAGAGCUUCUCUUUCUUUGGUUUAUGGUUUCAGGUGGUUAGAGUCCAUGGUGGCUGAGCAGAGGUGGCAAGUUGCUGGAGCAGCAGCUGAGAGCUCACAUCUCAAGCCUCAAACAGGAAAGGGAAGGAACAACCUGGAGAUGCCAUAUCAAAGCUGGUCCCCAUUGACAUGCCUUCUUGAGCAAGGCCACACCUCCUGAGCCUUUCCAAACAGCUAACAACUGAAGGCCAAGUAUUCAAACAUCCAAAAGUUUUGGGGGAUAUCGUAUGCAAACCACCACACAUAUACUCUUUUGAAAAAAACUGGAAGAGGGAUCCUGAAGAGUGGUCUGCUCUCAGUGGGUAAAGCCCUCACUGCACAAGCAUGAGGACCCGAGUUUGGAUUCACACUAGGCACAAAAAAGCCACGUGUGGCCACAUGUGUUUGCAUCCUCCAUGCAGAAAGGGAGGAUGCUGGAGCUCACUGGAUUAAUAGUCGAUCCAGUUGAUGGACUCCAGGUUCAGUAAAGAGGCUCUGUCAGAGAAAACACGUGAGAAAAUGACUAAAGAAGACCCCUGAUGAUGGCCUCAGGCACACAUUCAAGUGUCUGAAUCAGCACAUAGACACAUGAAUUUACCUCAUACUCCCAAGUAAAUAAAUAAAUACGCAUUUUUUUUUUUUUUUA